GAUGAACGCUGGCGGCGUGCCUAAUACAUGCAAGUCGAGCGAACAGACGAGGAGCUUACUCCUCUGACGUUAGCGGCGGACGGGUGAGUAACACGUGGAUAACCUACCUCUAAGACUGGGAUAACUUCGGGAAACCGGAGCUACUACCGGAUAAUAUAUUGAACCGCAUGGUUCAAUAGUGAAAGACGGUUUUGCUGUCACUUAUAGAUGGAUCCGCGCCGCAUUAGCUAGUUGGUAAGGUAACGGCUUACCAAGGCAACGAUGCGUAGCCGACCUGAGAGGGUGAUCAGCCACACUGGAACUGAGACACGGUCCAGACUCCUACGGGAGGCAGCAGUAGGGAAUCUUCCGCAAUGGGCGAAAGCUUGACGGAGCAAUGCCGCGUGAGUGAUGAAGGUCUUCGGAUCGUAAAACUCUGUUAUUAGGGAAGAACAAAUGUGUAAGUAACUAUGCACGUCUUGACGGUACCUAAUCAGAAAGCCACGGCUAACUACGUG
RNAcentral lists this ribosomal RNA (497 nucleotides) under uncultured bacterium. RNAcentral describes it as "partial 16S ribosomal RNA". It matches the Rfam family "Bacterial small subunit ribosomal RNA", at positions 28 to 507 of the family's 1533-position model. The record is from RNAcentral.